This 494-nucleotide ribosomal RNA is filed under the name uncultured bacterium. Its description in RNAcentral is "partial 16S ribosomal RNA". It matches the Rfam family "Bacterial small subunit ribosomal RNA", at positions 28 to 507 of the family's 1533-position model. The record is from RNAcentral.
GACGAACGCUGGCGGCGUGCUUAACACAUGCAGGUCGAACGGAAAGGCCUGCUUUCCCUUGUGGAUUGCGGGUGCUCGAGUGGCGAACGGGUGAGUAACACGUGAGUGAUCUGCCCCCAACUUGGGUAUAAGCCUGGGAAACUGGGUCUAAUUCCCGAUAGGACUGCAGGGUGGUGCCUGUGGUGGAAAACGAUUUUCUAGUGGUUGGGGAUGAGCUCGCGGCCUAUCAGCUUGUUGGUGGGGUAAUGGCCUACCAAGGCGGCGACGGGUAGCCGGCCUGAGAGGGUGGACGGCCACAUUGGGACUGAGAUACGGCCCAGACUCCUACGGGAGGCAGCAGUGGGGAAUAUUGCACAAUGGGCGGAAGCCUGAUGCAGCGACGCCGCGUGGGGGAUGACGGCCUUCGGGUGGUAAACUCCUUUCGACCGCGAGGAAGCCACCUGGUUGGAAGGGUGGUGACGGUAGUGGUAGAAGAAGCACCGGCUAACUACGUG